Molecule: non-coding RNA, 22 nt
Filed under: Saccharolobus solfataricus
Lineage: Archaea; Thermoproteati; Thermoproteota; Thermoprotei; Sulfolobales; Sulfolobaceae
Also listed under: 2 other names
Source: RNAcentral
GGCGAGGCAGCCACUGAUGAUU